This is a long non-coding RNA of Bubalus bubalis (water buffalo), 3634 nucleotides long. RefSeq lists it as uncharacterized. Lineage: Eukaryota; Metazoa; Chordata; Mammalia; Artiodactyla; Bovidae. The record is from RefSeq and is a predicted model, not a curated record. The transcript has 3 exons.
AGUUACGAAAUUCCAACAAUUCGAUUGCCAACGCAUGGCUGAAAUAUCUGUUAGGUUAGAAAGAUCAAGUAAACACUGUAGAAAAAAAAGUCUGUUUUAAUGGAAAAUUGUGUCUCACCUGUAGCCUACCUUUCCAAAUAGUCUGUUUCUAGCCUGGUUUGUUGUCAUGGAGCUAUUUUAAGAGUCCCUGUAAGUUUUAGGUAACUGAUAGAUGUGUGUUAUGUCUAUUCUACUAGUGAUUUUAUUUCCUCUCACACAUGGAAAAGCUAGUUUUGGCCCUCUAAACUCAGGACUAGUUUACUCCUUAUAAAUUUGUGUUUAGAUUUUUCCUUUGAAUGGUUAUAACAUCUGUCUGGUUCUCUCAUAUCAUAUAAUUUGUUAAAAAAUCUUUAACACAUGUUUAUUUUUAUACCUCUAUGGGAGUCUUGCAUUUACCUUUUUCUGAAAAUUAUCGUUUAGUCUCUAGACUCUUACCCCUGUUUCUCGACUAGAGGUAAGAAGGGACACUAAUAGUUACAUAUUUUAUAAAAUGUUCAAGUGACCCAAGGAAUCUCUGAAGCAAAUUUGUACUCCAGCCUAGCUCAAGUCCUACCACUAGCCUGACACUUUUAUCGUUUAUCUAGACAUUCAGGUGCUCUCUCUGGUACCUAUUUCCUUUCCUCAUCACCCAGACUCUUGCAGGCUUGUUCUCUCCAUGGAGAAGUAGCAUCAGAGCUUCUAAGCAUCCAUAAGGCAAAGCUUGCCAAUUCCUGCCUAUUUGGGUAUGUUGCAAACUGCCCUAAAGCUUUUUUGAAGAAGGUGGAUUAUAUUAAUCCAUAAUGGCUUCCCCUCCCCACCUCCAUUUCCCAACUCUUAAAGAGUCAAAAGAGCUGAAAGUUUCCCUGAUAAAGUUGAAAAUUACAAAUCAUAUCUUAAGAUGACAUUUUCCCGGUGUAAGGAACUGUUAAGAACUAUAAGGAAAACUUAUUUUGCUCAAGAGCAGAGUAUUUGGGGUAUUGUGACUUAGUUCUUAUUAUACAGUAAUAAUUGUAGUCCAGUCAAUGCUUACUGAGGCCCACUGUGAGCUAAUAACUCUGCAAGAAGCUCAGGGUACAAGACCAAGUAAAACAAAAUCUCUGCCUUCAAGGAGCUCGCAGAAGAAAAACACAUGUGCACCACUAAUCAUAAAAUACUUAGCAGUAUGAAUGCCAUGGGAGAAACAAAAUGGAUCUGAAAAGUGAAUAUGAUUGUUUGGUAAAGAAAUUUAUCUACAAUUUUAAUUGAAGGAUUGUCCAGUCACUUUACAGAUAAGGAAACCAAGUCCCCCAAAUGUUAUAGGAUCACAAUUCAUCCAUAAUGUAAGCAAGCAUAGAUAAAAGUUAUAAUGGGUGAUUGCAAGAUGAUUGAAUGGCAUGUACAUUUCAACUCUUAAACUAGAGCUGCUAUUUCUUCCAUACAGUGAAUUAACCUGCAAAGUGGGUUGCUGUGUUUCCAGCCUACUUCUGAAUGUAAAGGAGUCAUUUGUAAAAGGCUUUUGGCAGGCCUGGGGGAGAAUUUACUGUUAUCUGAGCUGUUAUCUGAGCUGCAGUCUUGGGAGGUCUCCCUGGGCUAAGCGGACAAUCCAGUGUCUGGGGAGACUGGGAUGGUAGUGGUGGUGGUACCCCUCGCACUGCCUGCCUCCUGGGCUGGCAAGAAUUCUGCGGAGUGAGGGCUACAGCUUUUCUGGCUGAAGUUCAAGGCUGGGCUUCUAUCCCAGCAGGGAGCUAGGGUGAAAACCAGAAGCUGGGCAGAAGGCCAGUGAGAUCAAAUGGUAGCUCAUUCCCAGGAGUCUCAAUUCACCUCCAGGAGCAUUGGAUAAACUGCUUCCAGAUUCUGCUCACUCAUGAGAUGGAAGCUUCUGACAUGGGGACCAACUGAGCCAUUCCCAGCUGAGAUGGGGAGCAGCUGGGUGGUGUUGGGACACUCAGAGAUUGAGGAAGACCACAACUUUCGGAAUGAGAAUCAACUUUGAUGAGUCUCGACAUCAGGAGUCUCAGCAACAGUUGAAGUGGUCCUGAAUAAAGUCUUCACCAUUUCAGCAAGUGUCCUUAGCAGAGCUCAGCCACAAAGGAGGGGAUACUGUCCAGUGGCCUCUGCAGACGAGGUCAGGGAGGAUAAUAACAAAAGAAGGUCCUCUGGGAGGGCAGAGGCAAGAGCCAUGGAGAGGACUUGUAGGAAGUAGAACUAGUGCUGGAUCCAGGAGCACUUACUCUCCACUGAGAAGGAGGCCUUUGCAACACUUUGCCCCGGAGGUUAACAUUGUUAUCGGUAAGUGACCAAUACGUAUCUCCCUUUCUUUCUGAAUGGUGUUUCUUACUGUUAUCAUAUUUCUGAGAUACUACUAUGUCUUGUGUUUGUAACUUGUGGUUUAGUCCAUGCCUCUGAACAGAGACUAGACCUACCCAGAUAUGGAAUAGAGACAAUUAGGAGAACCUGGACUUUUGAGUGUGAUUGGAUGGAAUUGCGCACCUGUGCGGAGGAUGAGAGCAACUCUCCAUGAUCCAGAGGGUGGACUAAGGUAGCCUGUGCCAUUGUCCCCUCUCUAAUUACUCUCCCUUUUCCUUAAAGAAGAUGAUUCAUUCAUCCUCACUCAUUGCCAUGUGAUUUGCAGGAGCCCUCCCCAUCCUCCCUGCCACCAUAGGAGGGGUGUACUUUGUGGAAACAAGCAAAGACCACCCAAAGGAGAACAAACAGAGGCUAUUUAUUCAGAGGCUGUUACAUAGCAAGGCAGUCAGCCUCCAUCACUUGCCUUUGGCAGAGAGUCAAAUGCAGGCAAGGGAGCAGGAGAGCUAUUUUACAGUGAAAGAAAAGGAAGGCUUCAGGUAUACUGAUUGAGGUUGUUGGCACGGAGACCCUGGAGGCAAGCUCGCUGGAAACGGGGAAUGUUGUGUGAUUAGUUUGGGAGGAUAUUUGGCUUCUCUGGUCAAUCCUGAGUUGGAAGCAGGGGCAAAAAAAUCUGGCAGUCAUUGACCAAGCGCUGACCAUGUGGAGCUGACUGCUACAGAUGUUGUGGUUUGGCUUCCUGGGCCGGUUGCUGCCGAGGCUGGAGGUCAGGGUUUUAUUGCGUAGGUCUGGCCAUUAUCCACUUGUGUGUUCAGUCUCCACUUUAUCUCAUUGACAUUGAGCUUAGCAACGGGAAUUCUUCAGCCAAUAGGAUGUGAGUGGGCAUCCUCUACGUCAUGUUUGAGCAGAAGGCUUGAGAGCCCUUGUGUGUUUUAUUCUGAACUUCUUUCCCUUCUGCUGUGAGACUGGCAUUUCUGAUGUAAGGGGCUGCUUCUUUAAUCUGGGUUCCCGAAUGUGAAGACACGUGGAGCAGGGCCAUUGCCUACCCUCUGCCAAAAACACAGCUGCGGUGGACCUGGAGUCCCCAUGAAAUGUCAAUGAAAAAAUAAACCAUUGUUUUGAAAGCUAUUAUCAAUUGAGUUUCUUUCUUUUUUUUCGGUCGAGUUGCACAGCUUGUGGAGUCUUAGUUCCCCAAGCAGGGAUCGAACCCUGUGCCCCCUGCAGUGGAAGCACAGAGUCCUAACCACUGGACCACCAGGGAAUUCCUGAGGUUCCUUGUUUAAGCAAAGAAGCUAACUAAUGCAGUCAUCCUAGAUCAGAGAGACUCUGAUGG